This 499-nucleotide ribosomal RNA is filed under the name uncultured bacterium. RNAcentral describes it as "partial 16S ribosomal RNA". It matches the Rfam family "Bacterial small subunit ribosomal RNA", at positions 899 to 1397 of the family's 1533-position model. The record is from RNAcentral.
ACUCAAAUGAAUAGACGGGGGCCCGCACAAGCGGUGGAGCAUGUGGUUCAAUUCGACGCAACGCGAAGAACCUUACCUGGGCUCGAACGGCUCACGAAAGCGCCUGGAAACAGGUGUUUCCCGCAAGGGACGGGAGUCGAGGUGCUGCAUGGCUGUCGUCAGCUCGUGUCGUGAGAUGUUGGGUUAAGUCCCGCAACGAGCGCAACCCUUGUCCUGUGUUGCUAAGCCGAAAGGCAGUACUCUCAGGAGACCGCCAGCGAUAAGCUGGAGGAAGGUGGGGAUGACGUCAAGUCCUCAUGGCCUUUAUGUCCAGGGCUACACACGUGCUACAAUGGGCGGUACAAAGCGCUGCGAAGUCGCGAGACCGAGCCAAUCGCAAAAAACCGCUCUCAGUUCGGAUUGCAGGCUGCAACUCGCCUGCAUGAAGCCGGAAUCGCUAGUAAUGCCGUAUCAGAACGAUGGCGUGAAUACGUUCCCGGGCCUUGUACACACCGCCCGU